AGUGAACGCUGGCGGUAGGCCUAACACAUGCAAGUCGAACGGCAGCACAGUAAGAGCUUGCUCUUACGGGUGGCGAGUGGCGGACGGGUGAGGAAUACAUCGGAAUCUACUUUUUCGUGGGGGAUAACGUAGGGAAACUUACGCUAAUACCGCAUACGACCUACGGGUGAAAGCAGGGGAUCUUCGGACCUUGCGCGAUUGAAUGAGCCGAUGUCGGAUUAGCUAGUUGGCGGGGUAAAGGCCCACCAAGGCGACGAUCCGUAGCUGGUCUGAGAGGAUGAACAGCCACACUGGAACUGAGACACGGUCCAGACUCCUACGGGAGGCAGCAGUGGGGAAUAUUGGACAAUGGGCGCGAGCCUGAUCCAGCCAUACCGCGUGGGUGAAGAAGGCCUUCGGGUUGUAAAGCCCUUUUGUUGGGAAAGAAAAGCAGCAGGUUAAUACCCCGCUGUUCUGACGGUACCCAAAGAAUAAGCACCGGCUAACUUCGUG
This 492-nucleotide ribosomal RNA is filed under the name uncultured bacterium. Its description in RNAcentral is "partial 16S ribosomal RNA". It matches the Rfam family "Bacterial small subunit ribosomal RNA", at positions 29 to 507 of the family's 1533-position model. The record is from RNAcentral.